Molecule: ribosomal RNA, 484 nt
Filed under: uncultured bacterium
Lineage: Bacteria
Description: partial 16S ribosomal RNA
Rfam family: Bacterial small subunit ribosomal RNA
Source: RNAcentral
AUUGAACGCUGGCGGCAGGCCUAACACAUGCAAGUCGAGCGGAUGAAGGGAGCUUGCUCCUGGAUUCAGCGGCGGACGGGUGAGUAAUGCCUAGGAAUCUGCCUGGUAGUGGGGGAUAACGUCCGGAAACGGGCGCUAAUACCGCAUACGUCCUGAGGGAGAAAGUGGGGGAUCUUCGGACCUCACGCUAUCAGAUGAGCCUAGGUCGGAUUAGCUAGUUGGUGGGGUAAAGGCCUACCAAGGCGACGAUCCGUAACUGGUCUGAGAGGAUGACCAGUCACACUGGAACUGAGACACGGUCCAGACUCCUACGGGAGGCAGCAGUGGGGAAUAUUGGACAAUGGGCGAAAGCCUGAUCCAGCCAUGGCGCGUGUGUGAAGGAGGUCUUCGGAUUGUAAAGCACUUUAAGUUGGGAGGAAGGGCAGUAAGUUAAUACCUUGCUGUUUUGACGUUACCAACAGAAUAAGCACCGGCUAACUUCGUG